CCUACGGGAGGCAGCAGUGGGGAAUAUUGCACAAUGGGGGGAACCCUGAUGCAGCAACGCCGCGUGAAGGAAGAAGGCUUUCGGGUUGUAAACUUCUAUCAAUAGGGACGAAAAGAAUGACGGUAGCGAAAUAAGAAGCCCCGGCUAACAACGUGCCAGCAGCCGCGGUAAUACGUAGGGGGCAAGCGUUAGCCGGAAUUACUGGGUGUAAAGGGAGCGUCGGCGGCAUGGGAAGCCAGAGGGGAACGCCCGCGGCUUAACCGCGCGGAUUGCAUUUGGAACUAUCAAGCUAGAGUACAGGAGAGGAAAGCGGAAUUCCUAGUGUAGCGGUGAAAUGCGUAGAUAUUAGGCAGAACACCAGUGGCGAAGGCGGCUUUCUGGACUGCAUCUGACGCUGAGGCUCGAAAGCGUGGGGAGCAAACAGGAUUAGAUACCCUGGUAGUC
This 444-nucleotide ribosomal RNA is filed under the name uncultured bacterium. Its description in RNAcentral is "partial 16S ribosomal RNA". It matches the Rfam family "Bacterial small subunit ribosomal RNA", at positions 338 to 795 of the family's 1533-position model. The record is from RNAcentral.